CAGCAGCUGUAGGUGAUUUAUUGGUUCAUCAUUAGCCUUACGUGCUACUUUCUCUUGAAACAAGAAAUCUACGAAGUCUGCUCGAAAUAUCCCAGACUGAAAGAAAGACGAAAGGACUUCUUUUGGAAUAUGGAGAAGGGCCUUUCUGACAAAGAUAUUAUAGGAGGUAUGGCAUCUUCACUUCAGCGCUAUAAUAGCAAUACAGCACUCUCAGUGGACCACUCCACAAUUCUUUGGACGUGGAAUCCAUGUCCAACUAAGAGAAACCUCCCUCUUUUCCAUUUCCAUCUUAGUUUACAAUACAGAGGGACAGAGAAGCAGGAGUAAUACCGUCUGUGGGAUCUGUGGUGCCAUAACUGACACGAAGGCCUGCAACGAAUACAAGCAACAGUAGAAGUUCUGUCCCCAUGCAGCAGCUUGGAGAAGAUGGAGUUAGCACCCCCUUGCCGCCGGCCUCCGAUGAUCAGCCUGGUAUUAGAAGCCACUUAGUUUAGUGGGUCAGCACAGGAGGAACUAGCAACUACCAUGCCAUGAUCCCCUCCAUCAUGGCUUAUAGCUUGCGGGAAUCAAAUGACGAGAUUGGAAGUUGGCAAAGGAUGCUUUGCCCAAAAAGCCUCGUCUUAUCUUCAAAGCUAAUUAACAAUGGAUUGUCUCGAGAGGCUCUCUCUCUCUCUCUAUCUCUAUCUGUAUCUCUCUCUCACACACACACACUCACUUUUGUUGGGUCUGUGGAACAAUCAUUUCAGGAUCGAAGGAGAUUGGAGUGGUUCCACCGUUCCCUUUUUUCCUA
This is a non-coding RNA of Phoenix dactylifera (date palm), 790 nucleotides long. Lineage: Eukaryota; Viridiplantae; Streptophyta; Magnoliopsida; Arecales; Arecaceae. The record is from RefSeq and is a predicted model, not a curated record.